CAGUAGCCGCGGUAAUACGUAGGUGGCAAGCGUUGUCCGGAAUUAUUGGGCGUAAAGGGCUCGCAGGCGGUUUCUUAAGUCUGAUGUGAAAGCCCCCGGCUCAACCGGGGAGGGUCAUUGGAAACUGGGAAACUUGAGUGCAGAAGAGGAGAGUGGAAUUCCACGUGUAGCGGUGAAAUGCGUAGAGAUGUGGAGGAACACCAGUGGCGAAGGCGACUCUCUGGUCUGUAACUGGCGCUGAGGAGCGAAAGCGUGGGGAGCGAACAGGAUUAGAUACCCCUGUAGUCCCUGUCUCUUAUAC
RNAcentral lists this ribosomal RNA (301 nucleotides) under uncultured bacterium. RNAcentral's name for it is "partial 16S ribosomal RNA". It matches the Rfam family "Bacterial small subunit ribosomal RNA", at positions 509 to 807 of the family's 1533-position model. The record is from RNAcentral.